GAUGAACGCUGGCGGCGUGCCUAAUACAUGCAAGUCGAACGGACAGACGAUGAGCUUGUGCCGCUAACGUUAGCGGCUGGCGGGUGAGUAACGCGUGUAUCACCUACUUAUAUUUCGGGGAUGACUACGUAAAACCGGAUAUAAUACGAUAGAAUAUAUUGAACCGCAGUGGGCAAUGGUAAAUUACGGUUUUUGUGGUAGUUAUAGCUGCUUCCGCGCCGUAUUAGCUAGUUGGUAAGGUAACGGCCUACCAAGGCAACGAUGCGUAGCCGAACUGAGGGGGUGAUCGGCCACACUGGAACUGAGACACGGUCCAGACUCCUACGGGAGGCAGCAGUGGGGAAUAUUAGGCAACGGGCGCAAGCCUGACGCAGCAAGCCCGAGUGAGUGACGAAGGCCUUGGGAUCGUAAAACCCUGUUAUUAGGGAAGAACAGCUGUGGCAUUAAACAUCGCAGUAUUGACGGUACCUAAUAAGAAAGCACCGGCUAACUACGUG
Molecule: ribosomal RNA, 497 nt
Filed under: uncultured bacterium
Lineage: Bacteria
Description: partial 16S ribosomal RNA
Rfam family: Bacterial small subunit ribosomal RNA
Source: RNAcentral